GUGCUCUCUUCGGCAGCACAUACACUAAAAUUGGAACAAUACAGAGAUGAUUAGCAGGGCUCCUGCACAAGGAUGGCAUGCAAAUUCUAAAGCAUUUCAUCUUUUGU
Cercocebus atys (sooty mangabey) is the source of this 107-nucleotide small nuclear RNA. The record is from Ensembl. Lineage: Eukaryota; Metazoa; Chordata; Mammalia; Primates; Cercopithecidae.